AUUGAACGCUGGCGACAUGCCUUACACAUGCAAGUCGAACGGCAGCACGGGUGCUUGCACCUGGUGGCGAGUGGCGAACGGGUGAGUAAUACAUCGGAACAUGUCCUGUAGUGGGGGAUAGCCCGGCGAAAGCCGGAUUAAUACCGCAUACGAUCUACGGAUGAAAGCGGGGGACCUUCGGGCCUCGCGCUAUAGGGUUGGCCGAUGGCUGAUUAGCUAGUUGGUGGGGUAAAGGCCUACCAAGGCGAUGAUCAGUAGCUGGUCUGAGAGGACGACCAGCCACACUGGGACUGAGACACGGCCCAGACUCCUACGGGAGGCAGCAGUGGGGAAUUUUGGACAAUGGGCGAAAGCCUGAUCCAGCAAUGCCGCGUGUGUGAAGAAGGCCUUCGGGUUGUAAAGCACUUUUGUCCGGAAAGAAAUCCUUGGCCCUAAUACGGUCGGGGGAUGACGGUACCGGAAGAAUAAGCACCGGCUAACUACGUG
This 486-nucleotide ribosomal RNA is filed under the name uncultured bacterium. Its description in RNAcentral is "partial 16S ribosomal RNA". It matches the Rfam family "Bacterial small subunit ribosomal RNA", at positions 30 to 507 of the family's 1533-position model. The record is from RNAcentral.